RNAcentral lists this ribosomal RNA (442 nucleotides) under uncultured bacterium. RNAcentral describes it as "partial 16S ribosomal RNA". The record is from RNAcentral.
AUUCCUUUGAGUUUUAGCCUUGCGGCCGUACUUCCCAGGCGGAGCGCUUAAUGCGUUAGCUGCGGCACUGCGGGGGUCAACACCCACAACACCUAGCGCUCAUCGUUUACAGCGUGGACUACCAGGGUAUCUAAUCCUGUUUGCUACCCACGCUUUCGCGUCUCAGCGUCAGUAUCCGUCCAGGUGGCCGCCUUCGCCACUGGUGUUCCUCCCGAUAUCUACGAAUUUCACCUCUACACCGGGAAUUCCGCCACCCUCUCCGGUACUCAAGCCUUGUAGUUUUGGGCGCACUUCCUCGGUUAAGCCGAGGGCUUUCACACCCAACUUGCAAGGCCGCCUACACGCGCUUUACGCCCAAUAAUUCCGAACAACGCUAGCACCCUCUGUAUUACCGCGGCUGCUGGCACAGAGUUAGCCGGUGCUUCCUUUGGAGGUACCGUCA